GCAGUCGUACGCUUCUUUUUCCACCGGAGCUUGCUCCACCGGAAAAAGAGGAGUGGCGAACGGGUGAGUAACACGUGGGUAACCUGCCCAUCAGAAGGGGAUAACACUUGGAAACAGGUGCUAAUACCGUAUAACAAUCGAAACCGCAUGGUUUUGAUUUGAAAGGCGCUUUCGGGUGUCGCUGAUGGAUGGACCCGCGGUGCAUUAGCUAGUUGGUGAGGUAACGGCUCACCAAGGCCACGAUGCAUAGCCGACCUGAGAGGGUGAUCGGCCACAUUGGGACUGAGACACGGCCCAAACUCCUACGGGAGGCAGCAGUAGGGAAUCUUCGGCAAUGGACGAAAGUCUGACCGAGCAACGCCGCGUGAGUGAAGAAGGUUUUCGGAUCGUAAAACUCUGUUGUUAGAGAAGAAUAAGGAUGAGAGUAACUGUUCAUCCCUUGACGGUAUCUAACCAGAAAGCCACGGCUAACUACGUGCCAGCAGCCGCGGUAAUACGUAGGUGGCAAGCGUUGUCCGGAUUUAUUGGGCGUAAAGCGAGCGCAGGCGGUUUCUUAAGUCUGAUGUGAAAGCCCCCGGCUCAACCGGGGAGGGUCAUUGGAAACUGGGAGACUUGAGUGCAGAAGAGGAGAGUGGAAUUCCAUGUGUAGCGGUGAAAUGCGUAGAUAUAUGGAGGAACACCAGUGGCGAAGGCGGCUCUCUGGUCUGUAACUGACGCUGAGGCUCGAAAGCGUGGGGAGCAAACAGGAUUAGAUACCCUGGUAGUCCACGCCGUAAACGAUGAGUGCUAAGUGUUGGAGGGUUUCCGCCCUUCAGUGCUGCAGCUAACGCAUUAAGCACUCCGCCUGGGGAGUACGACCGCAAGGU
This 866-nucleotide ribosomal RNA is filed under the name Enterococcus faecium. RNAcentral's name for it is "bacterial SSU rRNA". It matches the Rfam family "Bacterial small subunit ribosomal RNA", at positions 57 to 894 of the family's 1533-position model. Lineage: Bacteria; Bacillati; Bacillota; Bacilli; Lactobacillales; Enterococcaceae. The record is from RNAcentral.